AGUAAUGCAUAGGAAUCUGCCCAUGUAGUGGGGGACAACCUGGGGAAACUCAGGCUAAUACCGCAUGAGCCCCUCGGGGGAAAGCAGGGGAUCUUCGGACCUUGCGCUAUUGGAUGAGCCUAUGCCUGAUUAGCUUGUUGGUGGGGUAACGGCCUACCAAGGCGACGAUCAGUAGCUGGUCUGAGAGGACGAUCAGCCACACUGGGACUGAGACACGGCCCAG
Molecule: ribosomal RNA, 223 nt
Filed under: uncultured bacterium
Lineage: Bacteria
Description: partial 16S ribosomal RNA
Rfam family: Bacterial small subunit ribosomal RNA
Source: RNAcentral